AGGGAUAGGUAAAACAACUACU
RNAcentral lists this microRNA (22 nucleotides) under Glycine max (soybean). RNAcentral's name for it is "gma-miR1510b-5p". The record is from miRBase by way of RNAcentral. Lineage: Eukaryota; Viridiplantae; Streptophyta; Magnoliopsida; Fabales; Fabaceae.